UGUAAUAUUUUUGCAACUACAAUGCUGAUGUCAACACAAGCGUGGUUACAGCGAGACUGACUGAGUGAGGGAGAGCUGUGCGUGUGUGAGGUUGCGGGAGCAGGCGGUGUCCUGUGUUCAGUGCCACGCGCGAGUUGAAUGGCGCGCAAUUUGAAUGUACUUCAAUUACUUCAAUGUACAGAAUAUUCCUCCGGCGGGGCAAUCCGUGUAUUAUAAACCCACGUAUGUUAAGGGCCGACUGUACUGUACCCGUAAUUCAUGAGAAGCUAAAUAAUCGAGAUAUGUAACUUUGCUAAUUGAAAAUAGAUGACAUACAGGUACAGUUAAUCAUAAUAAAAAUUAUGAACUUCACCAGCAUCACAUUCACUUGUUUUCUCUGAUGUAACUUCAGACAAAACAAGAUGAUUUUCAUUUUCAUCUUUGACACUUUUGGUACAUUUUACCCGAAACAGAGAUAUUGAUGUUUGAAAACCAGAAAAAUUCUAAGCAGUAGCGAGAAUUUUAUUUUUUACUUAACGAGUUCAGACAAAAAAAGACAAUUUUCUUCUAUGACACUUUUCUCGGAUGUUACCCAUAACCGAGAUAAUACGUGGUUGAUAGCACCAAACAAACAUAGCUAACUUCCUAACAGGUGGGACCCCCCCCCCUCCCUCGGCAUAUUAAAUAUGUUCUAGGUUUCGCUAGGAAAACGUCAUAGAAGAAAAGGGUCUUACUUUUGCAAAGAAAAAUCCUGAGAUUCGUUAGGUGGCAACAGAUGCAAUGCUGUAAUGGCUUUUCUAGUUUUCCAAUUUUUCAACUCCUGAUUUGUUUUUCUUUUUCAUGGCCUUUAAUGUUCCUUCAGCAUGGUAAAUGAGAAGUGGUUCGAGUGCAAGAGGCGGCAGGAAAGAUCCCCAACUUGUGUAACGCAACGCAAACCUCUUCAACUUCCAUCGAGCUACAAAUAACGAUUGAAAUGUGCAGGGGCUAAAUUCCCCAAUGACUUACCGUCAUCCUUACGAGCAACCUUAAGACUGAACAGGGGAUUCAACAACAGUUUAUGACGCCCGUAACUGAACUUAUCGUACAGCAAGUUACGAUGACCUCCGAAAGGCAGAAAGAGGUUCUUGUACCUCCUGUUUUUCUACUAUACAACCCAUACCAAAACACACACAGCUGCCAGAUGUAUCGUACUUAUAAGUUUCACUCGCAAGUGAAGAUGGAACCAAGGAUUGCUUUAGUUCAUAACCAUGCACUCUGCAGGGAAAGGGCAUUUUGGGAUCCAUUGGACCCAGAACAAAUCAGUGACCACCUACUGCUAUGGUACUACAUAGUUUCACACAAGGAUAUACAGUACUCUGGCAGCUAUUGGUCAAGUGGCAAGGUCUCGUGCGGUCCCAAGACUCCCAAUGCAUACGCCUGUGCUAAUAGCUUCAAGGUUUUUCGUAAGUAGAAGUUUCCCGAGUGUAGAAGAUGUUCCUGGCUUAAGCCAAUCAACAGUGUCAAGAAUUAUGAAGUGACAUUAGCCCUUAAAAUAAUGGUAAUAAUAAUAAAUUAGUUUUAUUAUA
This is a long non-coding RNA of Homarus americanus (American lobster), 1544 nucleotides long. RefSeq lists it as uncharacterized. The transcript is spliced from 2 exons. NCBI's taxonomy places the organism in Eukaryota, Metazoa, Arthropoda, Malacostraca, Decapoda, Nephropidae. The record is from RefSeq and is a predicted model, not a curated record.